Molecule: unclassified non-coding RNA, 331 nt
Filed under: soil metagenome
Description: partial contains 5.8S ribosomal RNA, internal transcribed spacer 2, and large subunit ribosomal RNA
Rfam family: 5.8S ribosomal RNA (bases 1-120)
Source: RNAcentral
GAUGAAGAACGUAGCGAAAUGCGAUAAGUAAUGUGAAUUGCAGAACUCAGUGAAUCAUCGAAUCUUUGAACGCACAUUGCGCCCCCUGGUAUUCCGGGGGGCAUGCCUGUUCGAGCGUCAUUUCACCACUCAAGCCUCGCUUGGUAUUGGGCAACGCGGUCCGCCGCGUGCCUCAAAUCGACCGGCUGGGUCUUCUGUCCCCUAAGCGUUGUGGAAACUAUUCGCUAAAGGGUGCUCGGGAGGCUACGCCGUAAAACAAACCCAUUUCUAAGGUUGACCUCGGAUCAGGUAGGGAUACCCGCUGAACUUAAGCAUAUCAAUAAGCGGAGGA